CCUAUUGUUCCGUCAAUAGUACCUUACCGGGACACCGGAUGUAUGGUGAAGCCAUUAUCGGGUGAAGCUCCCGGGACAAUGUUCCUAAUCAUGACACGUGUGUCAAUAUGAGGGUAUGAAAUUCGUGAGAAAAGUAAUGCCUCCGAUGCUUCCUAAGUUGGUUGAAGGG
Non-coding RNA from Alkalitalea saponilacus, 169 nucleotides. NCBI's taxonomy places the organism in Bacteria, Pseudomonadati, Bacteroidota, Bacteroidia, Marinilabiliales, Marinilabiliaceae. The record is from Rfam.